Molecule: ribosomal RNA, 465 nt
Filed under: Vreelandella stevensii
Lineage: Bacteria; Pseudomonadati; Pseudomonadota; Gammaproteobacteria; Oceanospirillales; Halomonadaceae
Description: partial 16S ribosomal RNA
Rfam family: Bacterial small subunit ribosomal RNA
Source: RNAcentral
CCUACGGGGUGCUGCAGUGGGGAAUAUUGCACAAUGGGCGAAAGCCUGAUCCAGCCAUGCCGCGUGUGUGAAGAAGGCCUUCGGGUUGUAAAGCACUUUCAGUGGGGAAGAAAGCCUUGGGGCUAAUACCCUCGAGGAAGGACAUCACCCACAGAAGAAGCACCGGCUAACUCCGUGCCAGCAGCCGCGGUAAUACGGAGGGUGCGAGCGUUAAUCGGAAUUACUGGGCGUAAAGCGCGCGUAGGCGGUCUGAUAAGCCGGUUGUGAAAGCCCCGGGCUCAACCUGGGAACGGCAUCCGGAACUGUCAGGCUAGAGUGCAGGAGAGGAAGGUAGAAUUCCCGGUGUAGCGGUGAAAUGCGUAGAGAUCGGGAGGAAUACCAGUGGCGAAGGCGGCCUUCUGGACUGACACUGACGCUGAGGUGCGAAAGCGUGGGUAGCAAACAGGAUUAGAUACCCGAGUAGUC